RNAcentral lists this ribosomal RNA (441 nucleotides) under Geobacillus stearothermophilus. RNAcentral's name for it is "bacterial SSU rRNA". It matches the Rfam family "Bacterial small subunit ribosomal RNA", at positions 888 to 1326 of the family's 1533-position model. The record is from RNAcentral. Lineage: Bacteria; Bacillati; Bacillota; Bacilli; Caryophanales; Anoxybacillaceae.
GCAAGGCUGAAACUCAAAGGAAUUGACGGGGGCCCGCACAAGCGGUGGAGCAUGUGGUUUAAUUCGAAGCAACGCGAAGAACCUUACCAGGUCUUGACAUCCCCUGACAACCCAAGAGAUUGGGCGUUCCCCCUUCGGGGGGACAGGGUGACAGGUGGUGCAUGGUUGUCGUCAGCUCGUGUCGUGAGAUGUUGGGUUAAGUCCCGCAACGAGCGCAACCCUCGCCUCUAGUUGCCAGCAUUCGGUUGGGCACUCUAGAGGGACUGCCGGCGACAAGUCGGAGGAAGGUGGGGAUGACGUCAAAUCAUCAUGCCCCUUAUGACCUGGGCUACACACGUGCUACAAUGGGCGGUACAAAGGGCUGCGAACCCGCGAGGGGGAGCGAAUCCCAAAAAGCCGCUCUCAGUUCGGAUUGCAGGCUGCAACUCGCCUGCAUGAAGC